This 564-nucleotide ribosomal RNA is filed under the name uncultured bacterium. RNAcentral describes it as "bacterial SSU rRNA". It matches the Rfam family "Bacterial small subunit ribosomal RNA", at positions 338 to 917 of the family's 1533-position model. The record is from RNAcentral.
UCUACGGGAGGCAGCAGCAGGGAAUAUUGCACAAUGGGCGAAAGCCUGAUGCAGCAACGCCGCGUGAGGGAUGAAGGUCUUCGGAUUGUAAACCUCUUUUCCAGGGGACGAGAAGGGACGGUACCCUGGGAAUAAGCAACGGCUAACUACGUGCCAGCAGCCGCGGUAAUACGUAGGUUGCGAGUGUUAUUCGGAUUUACUGGGCGUAAAGCGCACCGAGGUGGCUUCUUAAGUUGGAUGUAAAAUCUCCCGGCUUAACUGGGAGGCGCCAUUCAAUACUGAGGAGCUUGAGGCCAGCAGGGGAAAGCGGAAUUCCCGGUGUAGUGGUGGAAUGCGUAGAGAUCGGGAGGAACACCAGUGGCGAAAGCGGCUUUCUGGGCUGCGCCUGACACUCUAGUGCGAAAGCGUGGGGGGCAAGCAGGAUUAGAUACCCUGGUAGUCCACGCCCUAAACGAUGGAUACUAGGUGUGGGAGGUAUUGACCCCUUCCGUGCCGAAGCUAACGCGUUAAGUAUCCCGCCUGGGGACUACGGCCGCAAGGUUAAAACUCAAAGGAAUUGACGGA